This 941-nucleotide small RNA is filed under the name Pongo abelii (Sumatran orangutan). RNAcentral's name for it is "retained intron". The record is from RNAcentral. Lineage: Eukaryota; Metazoa; Chordata; Mammalia; Primates; Hominidae.
UGCUGGGCCUGCCCCACAGUGUUCGCUAAGAUAUCUGGGUCCAUGCCCAAGAAUUCACGUUUCUAACAAGUUCCCAGGAGUUUCUGAUUGUUCUGUGGACCACACUUUGAGAGCUACUGAUAAAUAUGCCAGAUAGCUCAUUAGGAUUUAAGAAACUAUGUUUGGGCAUAUUUUAACUUUGAUAAACACUUAUAGAUUGAGCAAGAGAGGAUAGACAAGAUUUGGCCAAAGCUUCGAGUACUUGCAAGAUCAUCUCCUACUGAUAAGCAUACACUGGUUAAAGGUAUAAUUGACAGCACUGUCUCAGACCAACGCCAGGUUGUAGCUGUGACUGGUGAUGGUACAAAUGAUGGCCCAGCACUAAAGAAAGCAGAUGUUGGAUUUGCAAUGGGUAUUGCUGGAACUGAUGUAGCUAAAGAAGCAUCCGAUAUUAUUCUCACAGAUGACAACUUUACAAGCAUUGUUAAAGCAGUUAUGUGGGGACGAAAUGUCUAUGACAGCAUCUCAAAAUUCCUUCAGUUCCAACUUACUGUUAAUGUAGUGGCAGUGAUUGUUGCUUUUACGGGCGCCUGCAUUACUCAAGUAGGUGAUGACUUGUCUAUCAAAACUUGUUUACUUUAAAUUUAAAAAGUAUAUUAAAUGCCUUUUAAAAAAUACUUAAUAUUUAAGCUGAAGCUUAAUAUUUUAGGUUAGUUAAUAUAAAAAUAUAAUCCUGUUCUGUUUCUCAAGUUUUUAAACCCUAAAGGCUUCCUGAGAAUUGCUGAGCCCCUGAGUAGUUGUGAAUGUCUAUUAGGAAACAUAUCUUUUCUAGGACUCACCGCUUAAGGCUGUGCAGAUGCUGUGGGUAAACCUCAUAAUGGAUACACUCGCUUCCCUGGCUCUGGCAACGGAACCACCCACUGAGUCUCUCUUGCUUCGGAAACCUUAUGGUAGAAAUAAGC